Molecule: transfer RNA, 66 nt
Filed under: Neanthes glandicincta
Lineage: Eukaryota; Metazoa; Annelida; Polychaeta; Phyllodocida; Nereididae
Also listed under: 1 other name
Description: tRNA-Thr
Rfam family: tRNA
About the family: Transfer RNA (tRNA) molecules are approximately 80 nucleotides in length. Their secondary structure includes four short double-helical elements and three loops (D, anti-codon, and T loops). Further hydrogen bonds mediate the characteristic L-shaped molecular structure. tRNAs have two regions of fundamental functional importance: the anti-codon, which is responsible for specific mRNA codon recognition, and the 3' end, to which the tRNAs corresponding amino acid is attached (by aminoacyl-tRNA synthetases). tRNAs cope with the degeneracy of the genetic code in two manners: having more than one tRNA (with a specific anti-codon) for a particular amino acid; and 'wobble' base-pairing, i.e. permitting non-standard base-pairing at the 3rd anti-codon position.
Source: RNAcentral
GUAUGUAAAGCUAAACUAGAAGCGUUGGUCUUGUAAACCAAAGACUGAAUUAAAACUCUACAUACU